Molecule: unclassified non-coding RNA, 249 nt
Filed under: Hevea brasiliensis (rubber tree)
Lineage: Eukaryota; Viridiplantae; Streptophyta; Magnoliopsida; Malpighiales; Euphorbiaceae
Source: RNAcentral
UUAUGUUAUCAGUGUCUCUUAGAGAUUCAGAACUAAGGAUAUUUGCAGUGUUUUCUUGUUGACUUUAUGUUUAAUAGGCUUCUAUUAAUGUACAAUACAUCUGGAGUAGUGGAGUUGACGUUAUUUUUCGACUUCUUAAUGCUUCUUUUAGGACCCAAAUAUGUCGGCUGUUGUAAGAAUUUGCAUGACAGUUCUUCGGGUUCUUUUGAAUUCUAUUUCAAUUCUAUAUUCUCUUAUUUCUCACAAAAA